This 301-nucleotide ribosomal RNA is filed under the name uncultured bacterium. RNAcentral describes it as "partial 16S ribosomal RNA". It matches the Rfam family "Bacterial small subunit ribosomal RNA", at positions 509 to 807 of the family's 1533-position model. The record is from RNAcentral.
CAGCAGCCACGGGAAUACGGAGGGUGCAAGCGUUACUCGGAAUCACUGGGCGUAAAGGACGCGUAGGCGGAUUAUCAAGACUCUUGUGAAAUCUAACGGCUUAACCGUUAAACUGCUUGGGAAACUGAUAAUCUAGAGUAAGGGAGAGGCAGAUGGAAUUCUUGGUGUAGGGGUAAAAUCCGUAGAGAUCAAGAAGAAUACCCAUUGCGAAAGCGAUCUGCUGGAACUUAACUGACGUUAAUGCGUGAAAGCGUGGGGAGCAAACAGGAUUAGAUACCCCCGUAGUCCCUGUCUCUUAUAC